UACAGAGGUCUCGAGCGUUGUUCGGAUUCAUUGGGCGUAAAGGGUGCGUAGGCGGCGCGGUAAGUCGGGUGUGAAAUCUCGGAGCUUAACUCCGAAACUGCAUUCGAUACUGCCGUGCUUGAGGACUGGAGAGGAGACUGGAAUUUACGGUGUAGCGGUGAAAUGCGUAGAUAUCGUAAGGAAGACCAGUGGCGAAGGCGGGUCUCUGGACAGUUCCUGACGCUGAGGAGCGAAAGCCAGGGGAGCAAACGGG
RNAcentral lists this ribosomal RNA (253 nucleotides) under uncultured bacterium. Its description in RNAcentral is "partial 16S ribosomal RNA". It matches the Rfam family "Bacterial small subunit ribosomal RNA", at positions 524 to 776 of the family's 1533-position model. The record is from RNAcentral.